CCUACGGGAGGCAGCAGUGGGGAAUAUUGCACAAUGGGGGAAACCCUGAUGCAGCGACGCCGCGUGAGUGAAGAAGUAUUUCGGUAUGUAAAGCUCUAUCAGCAGGGAAGAAACCCACCCUCCGGGGUGGCUGACGGUACCUGACUAAGAAGCCCCGGCUAACUACGUGCCAGCAGCCGCGGUAAUACGUAGGGGGCAAGCGUUAUCCGGAUUUACUGGGUGUAAAGGGAGCGUAGGUGGCAAGGCAAGUCAGAUGUGAAAACCCGGGGCCCAACCCCGGGAGUGCAUUUGAUACUGUUUGGCUAGAGUGCAGGAGAGGUAGGUGGAAUGCCUAGUGUAGCGGUGAAAUGCAUAGAGAUUAGGAGGAACACCAGUGGCGAAGGCGGCUUACUGGACUGUAACUGACACUGAGGCUCGAAAGCGUGGGGAGCAAACAGGAUUAGAUACCCUUGUAGUC
Molecule: ribosomal RNA, 457 nt
Filed under: uncultured bacterium
Lineage: Bacteria
Description: partial 16S ribosomal RNA
Rfam family: Bacterial small subunit ribosomal RNA
Source: RNAcentral